CAGGCCAACAUCGGUUCUGAGGGUCGGUCAAAGGCCUUGGGAAUGUAUCUACCUACGGGUAGACUUAUAGACCAGGGUGUCAUGCGGCCUCUCGGGACCGAGGAACGCGCUUCGGCUCGGAUGUUGGCGUAAUGGUUGUCAGCGA
Molecule: ribosomal RNA, 145 nt
Filed under: Cladophialophora chaetospira
Lineage: Eukaryota; Fungi; Ascomycota; Eurotiomycetes; Chaetothyriales; Herpotrichiellaceae
Description: partial large subunit ribosomal RNA
Source: RNAcentral